ACGGGUGAGUAACACGUGGGUGAUCUGCCCUGCACUUUGGGAUAAGCCUGGGAAACUGGGUCUAAUACCGAAUAUGACCAUGCGCCUCCUGGUGUGUGGUGGAAAGCUUUUGCGGUGUGGGAUGGGCCCGCGGCCUAUCAGCUUGUUGGUGGGGUAAUGGCCUACCAAGGCGACGACGGGUAGCCGGCCUGAGAGGGUGACCGGCCACACUGGGACUGAGAUACGGCCCAAACUCCUACGGGAGGCAGCAGUGGGGAAUAUUGCACAAUGGGCGCAAGCCUGAUGCAGCGACGCCGCGUGAGGGAUGACGGCCUUCGGGUUGUAAACCUCUUUCAGCACAAACGAAGCGCAAGUGACGGUAUGUGCAGAAGAAGGACCGGCCAACUACGUGCCAGCAGCCGCGGUAAUACGUAGGGUCCGAGCGUUGUCCGGAAUUACUGGGCGUAAAGAGCUCGUAGGUGGUUUGUCGCGUUGUUCGUGAAAACUCACAACUCAAUUGUGGGCGUGCGGGCGAUACGGGCAGACUUGAGUACUGCAGGGGAGACUGGAAUUCCUGGUGUAGCGGUGGAAUGCGCAGA
This 578-nucleotide ribosomal RNA is filed under the name Mycobacterium sp. BvIRR118. RNAcentral describes it as "bacterial SSU rRNA". It matches the Rfam family "Bacterial small subunit ribosomal RNA", at positions 102 to 694 of the family's 1533-position model. The record is from RNAcentral. Lineage: Bacteria; Bacillati; Actinomycetota; Actinomycetes; Mycobacteriales; Mycobacteriaceae.